UACGUAGGUGGCAAGCGUUGUCCGGAAUUAUUGGGCGUAAAGCGCGCGCAGGCGGGAUAUCAAGUCUGUCUUAAAAGUGCGAGGCUCAACCUCGUGAGGGGACAGAAACUGGUAUUCUUGAGUGUCGGAGAGGAAAGUGGAAUUCCAAGUGUAGCGGUGAAAUGCGUAGAGAUUUGGAAGAACACCAGUGGCGAAGGCGACUUUCUGGACGAUGUCUGACGCUGAGGCGCGAAAGCUAGGGGAGCGAACGGG
RNAcentral lists this ribosomal RNA (252 nucleotides) under uncultured bacterium. RNAcentral describes it as "partial 16S ribosomal RNA". It matches the Rfam family "Bacterial small subunit ribosomal RNA", at positions 524 to 776 of the family's 1533-position model. RNAcentral also lists the same sequence under 1 other name. The record is from RNAcentral.